UGGGGAAUAUUGGACAAUGGGCGCAAGCCUGAUCCAGCCAUGCCGCGUGAGUGAUGAAGGCCCUAGGGUUGUAAAGCUCUUUCGCCAGGGACGAUAAUGACGGUACCUGGAUAAGAAGCCCCGGCUAACUUCGUGCCAGCAGCCGCGGUAAUACGAAGGGGGCUAGCGUUGUUCGGAAUCACUGGGCGUAAAGCGCACGUAGGCGGAUCUUUAAGUCAGGGGUGAAAUCCCGAGGCUCAACCUCGGAACUGCCUUUGAUACUGGAGGUCUCGAGUUCGGGGAGAGGUGAGUGGAACUGCGAGUGUAGAGGUGAAAUUCGUAGAUAUUCGCAAGAACACCAGUGGCGAAGGCGGCUCACUGGCCCGAUACUGACGCUGAGGUGCGAAAGCGUGGGGAGCGAACAGGAUUAGAUACCCUGGUAGUCCACGCCGUAAAACGAUGGAUGCUAGCCGUUGGGGGAGCUUGCUCUUCAGUGGCGCAGCUAAACGCUUUAAGCAUCCCGCCUGGGGAGUACGGUCGCAA
RNAcentral lists this ribosomal RNA (522 nucleotides) under uncultured bacterium. Its description in RNAcentral is "partial 16S ribosomal RNA". It matches the Rfam family "Bacterial small subunit ribosomal RNA", at positions 355 to 891 of the family's 1533-position model. The record is from RNAcentral.